AGGCUUAAUACAUGCAAGUCGAGGGGUCAGCGCGGGUAGCAAUACCUGGCGGCGACCGGCAAACGGGUGAGGAACAUGUACGCAACCUUCCUUUAACUGGAGGAUAGCCCCUCGAAAGAGGGAUUAAUACUCCGUAAGAUAAUGAAGUGGCAUCACUUUAUUAUUAUAGCUCCGGCGGUUAAAGAUGGGCGUGCAACUGAUUAGGUAGUUGGCGGGGUAACGGCCCACCAAGCCUGCGAUCAGUAACUGGUGUGAGAGCACGACCAGUCACACGGGCACUGAGACACGGGCCCGACUCCUACGGGAGGCAGCAGUAAGGAAUAUUGGUCAAUGGACGCAAGUCUGAACCAGCCAUGCCGCGUGGAGGAUUAAGGCCCUCUGGGUUGUAAACUCCUUUUAUCUGGGAAGAAAUGUUUCGAUUCUUCGGAACUUGACGGUACCAGAGGAAUAAGCACCGGCUAACUCCGUGCCAGCAGCCGCGGUAAUACGGAGGGUGCAAGCGUUAUCCGGAUUCACUGGGUUUAAAGGGUGCGUAGGCGGGCGGAUAAGUCAGUGGUGAAAUCUCCGAGCUUAACUCGGAAACUGCCAUUGAUACUAUUUGUCUGAUAUUGUGGAGGUAAGCGGAAUAUGUCAUGUAGCGGUGAAAUGCUUAGAUAUGACAUAGAACACCAAU
RNAcentral lists this ribosomal RNA (673 nucleotides) under uncultured bacterium. RNAcentral describes it as "bacterial SSU rRNA". It matches the Rfam family "Bacterial small subunit ribosomal RNA", at positions 44 to 713 of the family's 1533-position model. The record is from RNAcentral.